Molecule: ribosomal RNA, 195 nt
Filed under: Trichuris vulpis
Lineage: Eukaryota; Metazoa; Nematoda; Enoplea; Trichinellida; Trichuridae
Description: partial small subunit ribosomal RNA
Rfam family: Eukaryotic small subunit ribosomal RNA
Source: RNAcentral
GCAGCGCCGGCAGCCGCUUCUUAGAGGGACCAGCGACACUUUCGCAAGCCGCACGAGAAAGAGCAAUAACAGGUCUGUGAUGCCCCUUAGAUGUACGGGGCUGCACGCGUGCUACACUGACGGCGUACAGCGUGCGUUCAAGCCCGGCCUGGCAAGGCCAGGAAAUCGGUUGAAACGUUCUCGUGACUGGGACAG